This 253-nucleotide ribosomal RNA is filed under the name uncultured bacterium. RNAcentral's name for it is "partial 16S ribosomal RNA". It matches the Rfam family "Bacterial small subunit ribosomal RNA", at positions 524 to 777 of the family's 1533-position model. The record is from RNAcentral.
UACGUAGGGUGCAAGCGUUGUCCGGAAUUAUUGGGCGUAAAGGGCUCGUAGGCGGUUUGUCACGUCGGGAGUGAAAACUCGGGGCUUAACCCCGAGCCUGCUUCCGAUACGGGCAGACUAGAGGCAUGCAGGGGAGAACGGAAUUCCUGGUGUAGCGGUGAAAUGCGCAGAUAUCGGAAGGAACACCAGUGGCGAAAGCGGCUUCCUGGUCCAGCACCGACGUCAGGCACGAAAGCGUGGGGAGCAAACAGGG